Molecule: ribosomal RNA, 636 nt
Filed under: Cryptomonas paramaecium
Lineage: Eukaryota; Cryptophyceae; Cryptomonadales; Cryptomonadaceae
Description: LSU rRNA
Rfam family: Eukaryotic large subunit ribosomal RNA
Source: RNAcentral
GACCCGUCUUGAAACACGGACCAAGGAGUCUAACACGUAUGCGAGUAGUAAGGUGGCAAACCUUGGAUGCGAAAUGAAAGUGAACGUAGGUGGGAUCCUCUCACGAGGUGCACCAUCGACCGACCAGGAUCUAUUGUGAAAGGUUUGAGUAAGAGCAUAUUUGUUGGGACCCGAAAGAUGGUGAACUAUGCCUGAAUAGGGUGAAGCCAGAGGAAACUCUGGUGGAGGCUCGUAGCGGUACUGACGUGCAAAUCGUUCGUCAAAUUUGGGUAUAGGGGCGAAAGACUAAUCGAACCAUCUAGUAGCUGGUUCCCUCCGAAGUUUCCCUCAGGAUAGCUGGAGCUCGCACAAGUUUUAUCGGGUAAAGCGAAUGAUUAGAGGCCUCGGGGGUGUAACAUCCUCGACCUAUUCUCAAACUUUAAAUAGGUAAGACGUCCUUGCCACUUAAUUGGGCAUGGGCAGUGAAUUGGAGCUCCAAGUGGGCCAUUUUUGGUAAGCAGAACUGGCGAUGCGGGAUGAACCGAAAGUGCUGUUAAGGGGUUUAACUGCCGGCUCAUGUAGACCCCACAAAGGGUGUUGGUUCAUAUAAACAGCAGGACGGUGGCCAUGGAAGUCGGAAUCCGCUAAGGAGUGUGU